RNAcentral lists this unclassified non-coding RNA (1373 nucleotides) under uncultured Neocallimastigales. RNAcentral's name for it is "partial contains small subunit ribosomal RNA, internal transcribed spacer 1, 5.8S ribosomal RNA, internal transcribed spacer 2, and large subunit ribosomal RNA". The stretch from base 595 to 1373 matches the Rfam family "Eukaryotic large subunit ribosomal RNA", at positions 1 to 630 of the family's 3401-position model. The record is from RNAcentral. Lineage: Eukaryota; Fungi; Neocallimastigomycota; Neocallimastigomycetes; Neocallimastigales.
UUUCCGUAGGUGAACCUGCGGAAGGACCAUUAAAAAAUGUGGUACCAAUUAUUGGUACUAAUUAAUCAUCCUACCCUUUGUGAAUUUGUUUGUAUGAAUUUUUUUAAAUGGGUCUUUCCUAAGUUGGAUUGUUAGUAAAAUACAAAAAGACUUAGGGAAUGACUUUUUUAAAAGACUUUUUUUUAAUUAAAACUUUUUGUAUUCAUUUGUCUAAAUUUAUUUUAUAAUAUAAAAACAACUUUUGACAAUGGAUCUCUUGGUUCUCGCAACGAUGAAGAACGCAGCAAAAUGCGAUAAGUAGUGUGAAUUGCAGAAUACGUGAAUCAUCGAAUCUUCGAACGCAUAUUGCACUUUUUUAGUUUACUAAAAAGUAUGUCUGUUUGAGUAUCAGUAAAAUAUUCUCACAAACAUAUAUUGUUUGUGGUAUGAGUGUUUUACAACGAUAAACAAGUUGUUUCACUUUAAAUUCUUUUUAAUGAUUUUACCAAUUACAAAUUAAAAUUGGAUAAAAUUUUCCUUUAACGAGGAAUAACCUAAACAAUUUUAAAUUUUUGGCUUGUAAAAUCAUCAAAGGAAUCUAUAUCAUAAAUAACUUGAUCUCAAAUCAGAUAAGAGUACCCGCUGAACUUAAGCAUAUCAAUAAGCGGAGGAAAAGAAACUAACAAGGAUUCCUUAGUAACGGCGAGUGAAGCGGGAAGAGCUCAAAUUUGAAAUCUUCAAGGUUUGACCUUGACGAAUUGUAGUUUAUAGAAGUGUUUUCUGUUGGAGUUUUGGUAAAAGUUCUUUGGAAUAGGACAUCAUAGAGGGUGAGAAUCCCGUAUUUGACCAUGACUUUCCAGCUGUGUGAUACACUUUCAAAGAGUCGGAUUGUUUGGGAAUGCAGUCCAAAUGGGUGGUAAAUUUCAUCUAAAGCUAAAUAUUGGCGAGAGACCGAUAGCGAACAAGUACCGUGAGGGAAAGAUGAAAAGAACUUUGAAAAGAGAGUUAAACAGUACGUGAAAUUGUCAAAAGGGAAGCGUUUGACACCAGUGUUGUUUUCUCGAAAAUCAAUUUAAUGAGUUCUUGUUUUUAAGUUAUUGUGACUUUAUCAGCGCAUUUCUUAUUUUACUUGACUCAUUGAAUGCACUUUUCGUUUAACAAGUCAACAUCAAUUUCUUUGGUGGUAAAAAGUUUAAAGGAAGGUGGCUUGGACUUCGGUUCAAGUGUUUAUAGCCUUUUUUCUAUGCCAUCGGAGAGAUUGAGGUCUGCAGCGUAGAUCCUUCGGGUUAGAUACCUUUGUGCUAAGUUAUAGUUUUUUAUAGACAACUUGUUGACUAUAAUUAACCCUGUAAUUUACUCGCUUAGGCUAUUUUACCUACGCUUAGGAUGUUGAG